Molecule: long non-coding RNA, 651 nt
Organism: Armigeres subalbatus
Lineage: Eukaryota; Metazoa; Arthropoda; Insecta; Diptera; Culicidae
Exons: 4
Source: RefSeq, a predicted model, not a curated record
CGGACACGGGGCAGCAAGUGCGCGACGUGUUAUCUGCUCUUGGUCCGGUGAAAUUAGCUCAAAUAUUAAAAACUAAAUUGAGUUAAUAUUGUUAGUGUUGAAAAUUAUUAGCGAAAGUGGGAUAUGUGUAACCUAUCAUCGUAAAAACGCCGUUUGCAUAAGUCUAAAACUAAUUUGGUGAGAAAAAAGGUCCACAAAGGACCUUUUUUCUUUUGUCUUUGGACUAGCUUCGGUUCGGCCGCCAUCGCUAAUCGCCGAACAAAGCAGCUAGGGUGGAACGUGGUUGCUAAAUACCCUACUACUCGGUCAACGGACCCAAGUAACCGCCAUUCUGAGCAUAUACGGCAAGGAAAACUCGGUCGAGGCCGAAGGACGAACGCCCACUUUCCGUUGAAGGCUAGCAACAAGAACGCCACCCGCUUCUAGUCACUAUCGUUGUCACCACGCACCGUUACCGGCAACUUUCGACUAGGCCAGAAUCACCCACGAUGAACAACCACACCGCUCCCCCGCAAACAAGACCUACACCGAUUUAAGUACCACCAAAGCGCAAGUAAAUGUGACGUCACAAAUUAUAUAUGUUUAUAAGCCAUGGCCAAUUUAUGUAUGUAUUAGAUUAAGCUUAAAACUCCAAUACAAUUAUAAGCAUGA